ACACCGCCCGUCACACCAUGGAAGUUGGGGCGCCCGAAGUUGGUCGAAAGAUAGAUUACCUAAGGCGAAAUCAAUGACUGGGUGAAGUCGUAACAAGGUACC
Molecule: ribosomal RNA, 102 nt
Filed under: uncultured bacterium
Lineage: Bacteria
Description: partial 16S ribosomal RNA
Source: RNAcentral